UAGAGUUUGAUCCUGGCUCAGGACGAACACUGGCGGCGUGCUUAACACAUGCAAGUCGAACGGAAAGGCCCUGCUUUUGUGGGGUGCUCGAGUGGCGAACGGGUGAGUAACACGUGAGUAACCUGCCCUUGACUUUGGGAUAACUUCAGGAAACUGGGGCUAAUACCGGAUAGGAGCUCCUGCUGCAUGGUGGGGGUUGGAAAGUUUCGGCGGUUGGGGAUGGACUCGCGGCUUAUCAGCUUGUUGGUGGGGUAGUGGCUUACCAAGGCUUUGACGGGUAGCCGGCCUGAGAGGGUGACCGGCCACAUUGGGACUGAGAUACGGCCCAGACUCCUACGGGAGGCAGCAGUGGGGAAUAUUGCACAAUGGGCGGAAGCCUGAUGCAGCAACGCCGCGUGCGGGAUGACGGCCUUCGGGUUGUAAACCGCUUUCGCCUGUGACGAAGCGUGAGUGACGGUAAUGGGUAAAGAAGCACCGGCUAACUACGUGCCAGCAGCCGCGGUGAUACGUAGGGUGCGAGCGUUGUCCGGAUUUAUUGGGCGUAAAGGGCUCGUAGGUGGUUGAUCGCGUCGGAAGUGUAAUCUUGGGGCUUAACCCUGAGCGUGCUUUCGAUACGGGUUGACUUGAGGGUAGUCCACGCUGUAAACGGUGGGUACUAGGUGUGGGGUCCAUUCCACGGGUUCCGCGCCGUAGCUAACGCUUUAAGUACCCCGCCUGGGGAGUACGGCCGCAAGGCUAAAACUCAAAGGAAUUGACGGGGCCCCGCACAAGCGGCGGAGCAUGCGGAUUAAUUCGAUGCAACGCGUAGAACCUUACCUGGGUUUGACAUGGAUCGGGAGUGCUCAGAGAUGGGUGUGCCUCUUUUGGGGUCGGUUCACAGGUGGUGCAUGGCUGUCGUCAGCUCGUGUCGUGAGAUGUUGGGUUAAGUCCCGCAACGAGCGCAACCCUUGUUCACUGUUGCCAGCACGUUAUGGUGGGGACUCAGUGGAGACCGCCGGGGUCAACUCGGAGGAAGGUGGGGAUGACGUCAAGUCAUCAUGCCCCUUAUGUCCAGGGCUUCACGCAUGCUACAAUGGCUGGUACAGAGAGUGGCGAGCCUGUGAGGGUGAGCGAAUCUCGGAAAGCCGGUCUCAGUUCGGAUUGGGGUCUGCAACUCGACCUCAUGAAGUCGGAGUCGCUAGUAAUCGCAGAUCAGCAACGCUGCGGUGAAUACGUUCCCGGGGCUUGUACACACCGCCCGUCAAGUCAUGAAAGUUGGUAACACCCGAAGCCGGUGGCCUAACCGUUGUGGGGGAGCCGUCGAAGGUGGGACUGGUGAUUAGGACUAAGUCGUAACAAGGUAACCAA
This 1347-nucleotide ribosomal RNA is filed under the name uncultured bacterium. Its description in RNAcentral is "partial 16S ribosomal RNA". It matches the Rfam family "Bacterial small subunit ribosomal RNA". The record is from RNAcentral.